RNAcentral lists this ribosomal RNA (389 nucleotides) under Didymium trachysporum. Its description in RNAcentral is "SSU rRNA". It matches the Rfam family "Eukaryotic small subunit ribosomal RNA", at positions 76 to 405 of the family's 1831-position model. Lineage: Eukaryota; Evosea; Eumycetozoa; Physariida; Didymiaceae. The record is from RNAcentral.
UCUCUCUGAAUCUGCGAACGGCUCCGCAAACCAGUUGUAAACUAUAGCAAGCAAGCCCAGGUUCCCCUUCACGGGGGGGCUUGGGCAACACGGAUAACCCUGGUAAUUCUGAGGCUAAUACGAGAACGCAAUACCUGAACGACCGGGCGACUGGGAGUUUGGGAGGCGUGCAAGUUGUGUCGCGAGAAAUCGCCGGGAAUGGAUGCACGCCUGGACCGCGCUAAAAACAGAUGGGUGUCCCUGGCCUUCACGGGUCGGGGGUGCCUGCCUGAGCGGCUCUUGCUGUGUGCUUCUGACCUAUCAACUAGACGGCAGCGUAAGGGACAUGCUAUGGUUACAACGGGUACAGAGGAUUAGGGUUCGAUCCUGGAGAGUGGGCCUGAGAGAUU